Molecule: long non-coding RNA, 1568 nt
Filed under: Trifolium pratense (red clover)
Lineage: Eukaryota; Viridiplantae; Streptophyta; Magnoliopsida; Fabales; Fabaceae
Description: long non-coding RNA (TPRA_LNC002308)
Source: RNAcentral
CAUAUAUAAUAAGUUGGUGAUGAAGUAUCUCCACACACACCACCAAACUAGUCUCCUCACAACCUCAGCUACCACCCUUCUUCACUCUGUCUGUAUUUCUUCUUUUCAUCAUUCUUUCAUUCUCUCUCCCUUAUUAAUAACCCCACCUCUUAUCCACAAUAUCCUUUCAAUCUUCCACACACUCACCUAGCUUACAUAAUUUAUUUUUCACACAAUAAUUAAAACAAAAUUAUAUUAUAUAUAUCAUUUUUAAUAUUCUAGCAUAUUUACCACAAAUUAAUGGAGGAGUCUGGAGAAAAUUGGCCUUUUGAGUCUGAUUUGGUAAAAUACAAUUGUACUCAUCAUCAUCAAUUAUAUAAUACAUAUGUUACACAUAUAUUUUGAAUUAAUCAUGAUCAUAUUAUUGUAUCUCGUGUGUGUUACUUAGAGUGUAACUUAUAUCUAUAAUUAACUCUCUUUUGUUUGUUGUUUUCAUUUUUUUUUUUUUGAUGGAUUUGUUGUUUUCAUUUAUACAUAGGUAAUUGGUGAUGAUGUAAUUUUUGAAGAUGGAGAUCAAUCUGAAUCUGUGUGUGGUGAUAGAGAGAUUAAGGAGAAAUUGAUGGCACUUUCAGCCACCAUAGGCUUAAACAAGGUUAGUAAUUAAAUUUAGCUUAUUAGUACUUAGUUAACAUAUAUAUGUUCAUAUUAACACACACAUACAUGUUUCAAAACAAAAAAAACACACACACAUACAUAUAUAUACACACAAAAAAUUGUGUUGUUUCUUUUUAUAGUUUGUGUGUUCGAUCAAUUAUUCUCCAACUAUUAUUUUUUUGGUACAAUACUCUCCAACUAAUUAACGGUCAUAACAACUAAUAAUGUUUGAAUUGUGUAUUUUUUUUUAUAAUGAAUUGUGUAUCUUUCAAUUUGAAAUUAUUUUGUAGAUAAAGCUUGAUAUAAUUAAAAUUAAUAUCCAAUUAAAGGAAAUAUAGAACUGAUCUAUGAGUUUUAGAUCUCAUACUGAAUUAUCUUCAAUGAACAUUGAUUUUAACUUCUUCUUUAUUAUAGUUUAAGAAUUAAUAUUAAAAAAAAUAAUAUAUAUUGUGUUUAAAUGGUUAAUGAGAUUAGGUUAAUUAAAAUGAAUUGUUUGAGAUAAUUCGAGUUUGAAUCAAUGAUUAUAACAAUAACAAUUCUUAUUUAUAUAUUAACUACAUAUUGGUUGAAUUCUAGACUAUCAAGAUCCUUUCUGAUAACCGGAGAGUUAAAAGAAAAAAAGUAUUACUAUCCUCUAUGCAUGAUAGGGCCAAAAAAAACUUAAGAAAGAUUCAAUAUAAUUAAAAAGUAUUACUAUCUUUUAUUGACCUUAGACGAAAUGAAAAACACCACUAAUAGUAACACAAAAUUGUGAGUCCCCGUAUUCGAACUCUAGAUGAAAGUGUUUGACUUAAAAAUAUCGGUAUUUUCUGGUUGAGUUAGGAAUUUUGAACAUUUAGUUAUAAAUAUUGCAUAUGACUAUUAGGAAUACAUAUUCUUCCUUUUGGGUCAUCACGUGGGGGCAGUCAAUGAACAUUUACAUUGGACUUAAGAAC